RNAcentral lists this long non-coding RNA (11411 nucleotides) under Homo sapiens (human). RNAcentral describes it as "non-protein coding lnc-SMIM2-2:2". The record is from RNAcentral. Lineage: Eukaryota; Metazoa; Chordata; Mammalia; Primates; Hominidae.
ACAUGGCUCAGACUCCGCAGAGAGCAGAUUGCUGAUAAUGGCCAUCCCGUCUCCUGGCCCUCUCCCAGAAGAACCAUAUUUAAGCUCUCAGUUGAUGUGAAUGCCCGGAAAACAUUACUCUCCAGGGCAGUGGGAAGUCUGUCCAUUCCAUGGAGAUUAUCAGCUGAAACAAGGCUGUUUCCCGUCAGACCUGCUUAAGCCAUGUCAAGGUGUAAGAGUAACUGGAUGCUUUACGUAAACAAAAGGACAAAUGAAGGCCAAGCUGGAGUCUCACCUACCUGACUUUUACAGCAGUAAGAGCCUUAAUAGGGGCAUCAGCGAUCUUUAUAUAAAAACCUAAAAUGAUUCGCAAAGGGGAAACUGGGAUUGUUGGGAUUGUUAAAACUUUUGAUGACUUUUGUGACCAUUAAUUACAGUUGCUGAAAUGCCUUUCCAUAAAGAAGACAACUUCAUUCAACUCUUCAAUCUCAAGAUUACAGCCAUUUUCUGCACAGAGAAGGGUACACACUGAGGCAUCCACAAGACCUUGAUUUCAAACAAAUUUGUCUUCCUUUCAGUUAACACUAACAAAGCUACCAUUGAUGGAAACUAAAGGCAUUAAAACCCAGAGCACAUCCCCCAGCAUGAGAAAAUGAAUCAGACGAUGACCGCUUUGAGAAAUGGGCUCUGUGCUGGGACACACUGGGCUGUCUCCUCAGUACAGUCCCAGGCAGGACUUCAUUAUAAACCGCAGCCCCACCUCACACAGCGCCUCCUCAGCAUGACUCACUCACAAAAUCAUCCCUGCUGGUGGGAUGGCCGGCCUCUAACGAUGGAUUUGCUGUGCUGUUUCAUGGAAAACAACAACAACAACAACAAAAAACACACCAUAAACCAAAGACUUAAUGUCCAGCUGGUGGCUGGGACACCUUGGUGAAGAGGACCCAGUAAACUCAGGGAGGCUAGUGGUGCUGUUUGUGUCUCAUGUGGCCCACACCAGCCCACUGGCUGUUCACAAUACAUUCAUCUAGUGUUACUUCAGGGGGCCUCCAGGCCGACCUCCUAACUGAAAACAUCAUAGACCUUUCACGCAAGUGUUCAACGUGCUGGUGUUUACUCCUGCUGCUGGGCAUUCAAAACAACUGCUGAUCCCUCAUGUUCUCCUUACCUUUGUUCCCCUCCUUGCGAGUUGGGUGUAGGCCCCAAUCAGCCUCUGCAGGCCUCUCUGAACCUCAUGGUCUGAGUUUGAGGGGACCCAAGAGCUUGCCUUCUUAUUUUACAGAUGGGGAUACAGAGGCCCAGAGACUCUGUGCACCUUGUCAAGGUCCCAGCGCUAAGUCUAGAAACUAGCUGUCAUGUCAUAUCCCUUGGUCUCGGGAUAUUUUCACUUAUCCAUUCAACACGUGACAAGCAUUUCAAUAAGCCAGCUCUUUGAGGAGCUGGGAACAGGGAGAUGAAAUGGGCCUCUGCCCUGAGCAGCCCCUGGUCUUUGAUGUUAUGAUGGCAAGAAGCACUGGGAGCUAACAUCAAAGGGAGAGAGGCCUUCGGAUGCUUAGAAAGAGUCUCCCCACAGUUGCUAUCCUCCUCUGAAUGCGGCUCAAACCAAAUCAGCACAAAUCCGCUAAAUAAAACCACUGGAAAACAAGGUCAAAGUGACAGAGGCCAAGAGCACCAACAAAAGUGCCUUCUUAUCCAUCUUGGAGCCAAGCUGAAGAGCGGCCCCAAGUGACCAACGGUGGGACUCACGGCUGGGCCUUGUCCCCCCACCCCAGCACAGCCUUGGAUGAAUCACACACCAGAGAACAACAGGGCUAUUUCUCACCAGUCAUUUGUCAAGCUGACAUCCCUGCCUAGAGUUAUUUAGGGCUUUCUAAAGACACUUCUUUCCCUCCCUGCCGCAGGAAGCACCUGCACGGCUGUUGAGUUGUGGUUUUGCUCAAUAGCGCUUUGAUAUCCCUUAAGGCCUUCAUCAAUUACUCUUCUGUCCCUGAUGGGUUGGACUUUGGCUGAGGCAAAGACAGGGAAGCUUAGAGAGGAUGAUGGAGAGGAAGAGGAUGGUGAGUUCCUCUGAGAUCUGAGGCCAGCCACUGUCUGGAGGUGGGCUCUUAUUGAUUUCUGUGGGGGAACCUUCAGGAGAGGACAGUCUGAGUUCUUGGCCAGCUGGACUUGGACCAUAACUGCCAUGUUCCCAUGAGGACAGGUCCCCCUCCUGGAACAGAGCUAUGCUCCUGCCAGCUACUUAGAGGAAAAGAGCAGGCCUGUCAGAUGAGUGUGACUGGAGCAAACCUGGUCUUCCGAUUCAGCUAAAUGACAUAAGGCAGAGGGGACUUGGAGCGGGAUCAGGGAAGAAAAACGGAAAUAAUGAGAAGACUCAGUGAAUGGAUCUCUGAAAGCAGUUAGGAGAAUUUGAGUUGUUGAGUCUAGAGGAGGCAAGAGUGAACUAAGAAUUAGCUUUGAUUAUAGGCAGAAAAACUGUGCAUAAAUUAGUGGUCAUUUCUACUGAAAAUAUGGUGUGGGUUGGAUUCUUGCUUCCAUGGCUGCCCGAGGAUUUUGCUCCAGUGUGCUGGCCUGUCUGGGUUAUUGCAUUAUUCUUAUUCAUGAGGUGGUGGGUCUCCUUCCUUGGAGAUUUGCAUGAAUGGAAAUGACAUCCUCCCAGAUGGAAUGGUUUAGGGAAAGUCUUCACGACACAUAUGUUUCUUCCCUUCAGUUUGCACUGCCCAACAUCCCAGCUUGACCCUUAUGUCUGAAUCAGUUUAGCAGCCUCUUGACUAGUAUACAGAUGUUCCAUCUCUGCCUCCUUCAGUCCACUCUGCCUAUGGAGGUCCCACUUAUCUUCCUUAAAUUCAUCUUGGAUAAUGGCAAUGUCCUGCUAAAAAUAUGUUGAUGCCUAUUUAUUUAUUCAUCCAACAAAUACUGAGCACCUAUUGUCUUGAGCACCGAUUAUGUGCCUGCUGCUUACUCCCGGGCAUACAACAUGGCACAAAGUGUAGUAGGGCCUCAUCAAGGCAUUCACUCAGCCUUCCUGUCCUUGUCCUGGAACCUUUUAAGGCCUCAUCAUCUGCUUUUAACAGAUCUUUCUGACCUUUUGCCCACACAAAACCUUUUCUUCCAGCCUAGCCCAUUCACCAUGAUAACCCACCUGGUGUCUUUCUUGUCACCCCAACUUCUGGAUAGACUAUCCUUAUUCGGAGCCCAUCUCUCCUGUGAAGCUAACACAAGUCUCCUUGCCUUUAGGAGGAUUUCCAUGGCCGCUUGGGUUUUAGAAUUCUCUAGCACCUCUGUCCCCACAGUGUUUCUUCCUUAGCACUGGGUAUGUUCUUCCUGAGUGGAGAGAACUGGCAGCUGCUGUGCCUGCCCUGACCUCCUGUGGCCUCACUCGCCGUGGACAAGUCCUGAGAGAGCUGGAACCUGUGGACAUUCUUUCCCUGUCCGUGCUCUGCUGUGGAUGAUGACAGGGGCAGCUCAGGUGUUUGCUGGGGCUUCCAGAGCAUUUGACACCAUUAAGAAGACGGAGAGUAUACUGAAUGUCUAAACUUAAAGGGGGAGAGGCUUUGGGGAUCAUUUAAUAAAACGACCUUGUUUUGCAGAUAUGGAAACUGAGAACCAGAGAAACUGAUUUACCCAAAACCACAAGAGAGUUGGAAGAAUGAACUAAAGAUCAGAAACUUUUCUUCUCAGAGUCCAACUGGUCCAUGAUGGUUUGGGGAAGAACCUGCAGAAAGAGAGGGCAGGAAAUUAGCAAGGUGAGAAAUCACAAAGGUUCUUAUAUACAGGAUCCAGUUGGUGAAUUGCAGGGUCCUGUUAUCUUUGCUCCUUUUUAGAUCUCCACUUGCCUAAAAUAAAUCAUGACCCUACACUUUCAAAGAUCCAGGCCAACCUUGGGGCCCCAAGGUGAGUUUUUUUCUGUCUUGUGAAACUGGUGCUACUUGUGUGGUGUAAAUCAGAGGGUUAGCAAGUAUUCAGUGGAUUUGCUGGUAAGCCCAACCUUUUGACAAAAGAGGGGGAAGAAAGAAAUAAAAGUAGGGGUGGGGGAAGUAAGCUAGAAGAAUAAGGAGAGAGAUAGAGAUGUGACUCCAUCAACAAAAUACUGAUUGAGUAUCUUCUACGUGUAAGACUGUGCUAGUUUCAACUUGCCAUUCUAAAUCAACAAAUAGAACCCUUAUUUGUGACUACAGAGGCUGAGAGUUAGGUGUGUCUGGUGUAAGACAGAUGCACACCCAGGUAUGACCAGCAAGCAGCAAAGUCAAUAGGCAAUUACUCAGGAAGGCUGUUAUGGAAGGAAUGAGAAUGAAUGGGCCCACGCUGACUUAGAAAUUAAGUUAAAACAUAUGGCAAAUGUUUUUCUGAUAUGCACUUAAAGCCUGGAACAGUCCAAGAGGCCCUGGGUUUCCCUGAGAGGGAGGCUUUUAGGAAGAGUGUAGGCUGCCUGUGGCUGCUGCACCUAACUGGAUUACAGGCCUCUGUGACGCUGCCCAUCACAUCUGCUUUUCAGUAAUGCCGUAGGGGAGGCAAGCUGUCCCCUUAGACCCUUAGCAUGAUCUGUCUAUGGGUUUCACAUUUUUUCCUGGCAGAGUUAGUUUUUCGUGUUUGUUUUGUGAAGAAAAACUUUGUAUACUUCUUUCCUUUUUUUUCCUUUGCAAUAAAGUGUUGAACAAAAUGUAUACUAUUUUGUCCAAACUUUUUAAGCUUCCAGAUUUGGAUAUGGUGUUUAUGUCUGUGGCUUUUAGAAAGUCUGAAUGGAUCUGAAAGGUCAGAAAAUACCUAAACAUUUGACUCUACCCUUCAGCUCACACGUGAUUGGCUGUGCAUUGUUUUAUUUUUAAAAAUGGUAAAUGAGAAACUAUUCUUUAGUCAUAUCUUGUUCUCAGAGCCUUUCCCCCUCUUGCAGACUGUGCCGCCACCCAAAAGCUUGAAAACACCCCAGGAAGCCAUCCCCUCAUUGUGAAAUGACUAAUCACCACACACCACUUGGUUUUCCUUCCUGGACGUCAUAGGCCAUAGCCCUGUAGUUCCCACAUUGUCUCUGUCAUCAUCCCAAGGAGUGUGACUCUUGAUUCUGAGCCUGGGCAGGACAGCCUGUCUCAGCACAGGCUGUUAUAUAAGCGGCUGUGGGGAGAGCUGGCAAUAAACAAACAUUUUUCCAGCCCUUGUUUUCUCUGCAGCCUUGAAAAAUAUUUUUCUGGGGCUGCUGCUGUGCUCCUGCAACAGGAUGGCAAAUUCCCAGCUUAGAAAUGUCUUGCUCUGCAUUUCCAGAUUCUAAAAUCAGAACAAAGUGAACCAGCAUGUUCAAAGGAACUGAAAUUUUGAGAGCCAGGACACAUAGAUGGGUUUCUCGACAAGCGGCUUUGCAGCAGUCUUUCCAAAGUUUCAUCCACACAUCCUGACGGCGAGUAACCAUUGGGAAAUUACAUGGUGACUUUAGGGCCACAGAGAGGAGAAUCAGAAGAUGACAGGAACUCACUUGGGAAUGGAGAAGUGAUGUUAUGGCUGCCAGUGUCAAAGUCAGACCCACUGUAUAAACACAGACAUUCACACAUAUGAGAACCAUGGGACUGAACAUUGGUAAAGUCCGUUCCUCCUUGGGCCACUCCAUCUUGGAAACUCAAAGGAGGAACACUUUACAGUAGUGUUCCACACACUCUACCUCUAACUCCCAGUACUGAAUUUAGUGGAAGUCCAACCACAGUUCCUCCCACCCAAACAGACAGUUCCUUGUGAGUGUCUCAGAGGGACACUUAGACAGGACAGCCUCCUCAUUCACUGGUGAAAGAUUUUCCAGAGCCAAAGCUCUUGCUUCCAUGGCUGUCACCUGUAAGGGUUGCUGGUACCAGCUGCUUUUCUGAAGCCACUGCACCCUCCCCAUUCCCCUGCAGUAGUCUCCAUUGUGAGACCUCAGCCAGAGUGACCUUGUGCUCUAUUUCCCUUCAAUGGCUGAUGUUCUGGUGUCACUCCCUGUGCUGAAAGCCAAGCUGAUUUCUCCACAUCUCUGAGUAAUUCAGAUCAUUUUACAAUGAAUUAGCAAGUGAGUUUGUUAUUGCAGUGCGGAGGAGGAGGGAUGGGAAGCACUUUCAGAGUUUCUUUUAGUUUUCCCUGAGUCUACUGAGACCCCUGAAAGAAAACUUACUGCCUGUAGCUUGGAAAUGUUGCUGUGUAUCCAAGAAGCUGCCACUCUGCUCAUUGGCAAGGCUACAUCUAUGGCUAUAUCAAUCCACCUUUCUCAUCAUUGUCCUCAUACCGUGGAACUAGGACAGAGUCACCCAGAAGGAAGCAUGGGUACUGUAGUUUAUCCAAGGUCACUAGGCUAGUCUUUUGGUCCUGUGUAGCUAGGAUUGGCUGCGUAAUAUGUAGGGUGCAGUGCAAAAUAAAAAUGUCAGGCCUCUGUUGAAAAAUUAUUAAUAAUUUCUAAAUGGCAACAGGUGAGCAUCAAACCAAACUCAGGCCCUAUACAAUCAUACAAGUCAUGUGCUUAUGAAGCCAAAGCCAUUCUCAGCAUAGCUUUUAUUUGAAGCCUCUAGUUUUCACAGUGGAGUGGCUAAAAGAGGUAAGUUCUUUGAGGGUUGUGCAAGAAAGUUUAGGAAGGAGAGAUGACAGCUGGCUGCUUUUAGCAGGACAUUCUUUGUAAGUGGGUAGCACCUGUGGGUCACUAUGAAAAACAGGCGCCAUCCAAAGUACUUUCCAUAUGUUAAAUCAUUUCAUAUACAUACAUACACAUGAAUAAUGUGUAUCUAUUAAAUCGUGAAUCCUCACAACAACCAUUUAAAGUGGGUGCUGUUGUUUUUCUAUGCUUUUAUAGGUAAGGAAACCGAGGCACAAUAGAGUUAAAUGAAAUGCUGAUUUAAAGUUUGGUUCUCAACUUUCUAAUAGAAACCCUCUAUUGUUGAAGUGAACUUGGAGCUUACUAGACCAUGAGGGACUGAAUCAUGCUAAACUCACAGAAAAUUGAUGUAUAUGCAACAAAACAAAUUUAUUCCUAUAAAAUGAGAGGCACUACCGUCCCAGUAACUGAGAUAUUUAUUUCUAUGACCCAAGAUACCCCUUUUGAGUAUUAAGGUGCCUGGGGUGACUGAAGUAACAGUCAGAAGCUUGCUCAGUGAUCACAGAAUCAAAACAAAGCGAAUUGCAAAAUCUCAGGGGAGAUGCUGACCAAACAGAUAGAGUCUGAGAAAUCAUCCCUGUGCUUAAUACUUUUCUUCCUGGUGGAUGAAGUACUCUUGUCUGCUAAAUACAGGGUCUUAAUUCAUGCAUGGUGUUUAGUUCUCCUUUGCAGGAGUCAUCCCCACCACCUCAUGUCAAGUCAGUUACAGCACAACUGAAUAUGCUGCCCCCUUCUUAAUGUUGCUGUGCUCUGGUCUGGGGUGUGAUCCCAAACAUCAUGAUCCCAGCAGUAGCUGGUUUACAAACCAACUCUGAGGAUGCCACAUCCAUAGAAAACCUGUCGUUUUCUUCUGGUUUCCACUUCAAAGUGUGAACUGAAUCUGGGCCACCAUGUGCUCCCUAAACUUAGCAUUUAAGUAGCUCUGAUGAGCAGAAUGUUAAUGUGUUAAAAUGAGAUUAUGUUCGUUCCCUUACAAAUUUAGGAUAAAGAUGCUAGGCUGGCCCUUUGAAGGUAAAUUAACUCCUCAGAAGCACCUGCUUGUGUGGCAUUAAGUAAUCAAACAACAAAACUACACUUGGAUGGGUUUAAAGUGGGACUGAAAAAGUAGACAAAAAGUAGAUGACUUUUGCAUCAUCAGGGAAUUGAUUUUUUGCUUUGUUUGUAACUCUCCACUUGAAAGUUGUCUUUUUCCUGCCAAAUUCAGGGUGAUUCAUAAAACCAUCUUCUCUUAAUGUGAAGAGAAAUUGCUGGAGGUUGUUUUGAAGGGCAUCUUUGGGAACCACCUUAACAAGUAGCUGAAUAAGGAAGAGGAGGAUGAUGAUCGCUGACAUAAAAAAUGCUUACUAUAUAGGUGGCAGGCAUUGUGCUAACUGGAUUAAAUAUUAUUUUUUAACAACCCUAUGAGACUAUUCUCAUUGUACUGAGAGAAAACGGAUUUGGGGCCAGCAAUGGUGAGAGAAAAUGGUGAUGAUUCUUAAACUCUGAACUUCAAGCAUUAAGAAUUGGCUGCAAUAGAAAACUGGUCCUAGAUGGUCCCAAGUGGCCCAUCAUGAGCCAGAUACUAGUGGGGGAUAUAGGGAGGACCAGAGGCCACAGAGAACCACGUGAUGAAUGUAGAAGAAAGAGGGUUUUAAAAGGGCCAGGGCAGAGGUGUUCCUGUAGGAUUAGGCACACAUAGACCAAGCUCUCCUGAGAUCCCUCACUGAGAAGGAAUUGGAAAGAACACCAGAAUCAUGUACUCCCUAGUUCGAUGUGGAUAUUAAUUGUAACUGAUUAUGUGUAUACAUUUAUGCUGAAGUUAACUGUGAGUAAAUUGGUUGUAUGUCAUUCCUUGGUGUGUAUUUUGCCUUUCCUAUUCUUUUUUGUUCCAUUAUAAACUCGGGUUGCUAGAACCUCAUACGAUCCUGUGAGAGGUGGGAGUUAGCUGGUCACUCAGUCUUCUCCUCUUUCCUGGGAGGUGGUGGUUUAAUCAUAUCCAUUUGUAAAAGGGGAAAUGGUGGCUCAGAGGUCCUCAGUAAUUUCUACAGCUAGAUAAUUCAUGGGUGCAGAGUUCAGAUCUGGGGUUCAGACCCCUACAGUGUGUGUGGCAGGGAGUCUAGGCAAACAGCAACUCUCACCCGCAAGCACCCAACAAGGUUUGUCCUUGUUUUCAGUGGGCCUCCUACUUCCCUGAAAGGUCUAAUCUCAGCAACACAGUCUCAUUUAGCUUAUUGUUUUGGCUAUUUAUGUGCAAUAACUGUGAAAAGCAAGAAGAUGGGUUGCAAUUUCCUUACCUACUUGUUAUGUUCAAAUCAGCUCUUUGAAAGCAGAGUCAAGAUACAAUAAUAGUAAUAAUAACAAUAAUCAUUUAUAGUUAAAGCAUGGAAUCGAAUGGUGCUUCCAUAGCAUCCAUGUGUGUCAGGUGCUCUUUUAAGCAAGUUACAUUCAUUCAGUUUGUCCCACAUCUUCAUAAAACAAGGGGUGAAUUGUAUGAGGAAAAGGAUGCUAGAAUUUCAAUUUUGUCUUGCUCCAUUCCAUCUCUGAACUUCUCAAAAUGAAUUUUAGCAAGGCCUGACCUAUAUAGAAAUCUGUUUCUUAUACAUGGCUCCAAAAAUGGUCCUACUCUGAAGUCUGCAUUUUUGGCAAUGGGAGGUGCCAGACAAGAAGUGAGGGUCUGAGGCCCACCCUGGACUCCUCCAGGCCUAGUCAUCCUGGUGUGUUUCUCAGAAUCUAUGGUUCCUUCUCUCCUCCCUCCUCUUUUGCUUUCUUCCUGCCACAAAAUCUCUUUUUUUCAUCGUGAAGAGCCACAUGCCAAUUACUUUAUACAGCAACACCCCAUCCUCCUCUAGCUCUCCAGGGUCCAGGCUCUUGGGGCCCUCAUACAUGUUCCCACACCCUGGAAGGGUAGAGACCCCUCCGCCUCCUGGUGCCAGCAGAAGGGUGGGAGACCUACGUGCAGUCAAGUGGAGAAUUUGUCUCCCAGGGCCCAAAGAGACAUUCAACACCAAGCUCUGUGCGGCAAUUCCCCUCAUAAAUCUCAGCUCUAACUACAAAUUAUUUACACUAUCCAGUUUCACUUCCUUCUUCUCUCCCAUCGGAUUCAAAGGAUUUUAGACUUCAGAAAAACAUUGAGUCUGAAUUAAACAUCGGCAUGAACUUGAUCAACUUUAAGUCUCUCAUUUCACAUCAGAAGCCAGGAGUUGGGAGUGGCGGGGGCAGGGAUCAGAAGAUAUCUACAGACAAAAAGACAUUUAUAAAGCAAUAUAGUAUUAAAGAUGGAAAAGCCCACAUGAAAAACGCAGAGGCCAGCCCACCUCCCUGUGACACUAUUGCCCUUAAUCAUGGUACUGGGAUGGUAUAUCUCCAGAAGUUUGAAACAGGAAACAAAUAAUAUUUCAAAGUUUCCAGCAAGAAAGUAAUGACAGCUUUGGAGAGCAGCUGCAGCCACUUUCUUCCAUUAAGCCUUUGUCCCUCCCCUUGGCCUUGGCAGUGGGUCUAGGGCGCCAUGCGAUCCCUACAGCUUUCAUUACACCCAGUUCAAGAACCUGCUUGCAAGCGUCUCCUUGCCCAGCACACAAACAAACUUUAAAUGAUAAAGGAAAACACUGGCAGCAUGUUCCUGUGUUCUGAGGCAGGCCUGGGGCGGGGCUUUCCCAGAGUUUGUUGUGAGAGACAACCUGCUCUCCCACCAGGUGGAGAGGAGCCUGGACCAAGGUUGAAAAGCCAUGAGUCAGGCCUAGAGAAUUUCAGUUGCAACACCCUCUUGUAAGAGGCUGUUUAGUCAUAGCUGUUGCUUUCAAUGAAAAGGUCACCCACUCCAUAGUGAAUGGUUAUUUGCUGGCUGCUUCUCACACUGUUGCAAUUGUGAUCCUUUUGCAUCUUUGAUUGUCUUUCAUCGGAAAACUAUGACAUGCUUCAUUUUGUUUCCCAGGGUGGUAGCCACAGUCGGCGGUCAGUUGGCGAGCUGGCUACAUUCGAUGGUAUGCAAACAACUCGGUGGCAGCUUAAAGGGUGGGGUAGGCAGUGUGGCCCUCAAUGUGCAGUUCGAGUUUCCCAAGUUGAAGGCUCACAGAGUGAUUGGAAACCAGGAGAAAAAUUACUGUGGUCUGAGCAGGGAAGGAAGAAAGGUCCUGGACACUCGGCUUCUAGAGAGAUCCACGUGCGCCAUGCCGCAACUGCAUUCAGUGUCUUCCAGCUUCCAACUUGUUGUCAGCCUUCAGAGUGACUGACCCGGGGAGAUCAGCUGGGAGCCCCCUUACGACCUGUCAGCAUGCGCCCCGAGAAGACACCUUGGUCAAGCGUCUCUCAGCCUGGUCACACUUGCUGGCUUUUUUCAUUAUGGUCAUGGCUAAGAGGGAAGAGGAGAGUUGCCAAAUUUGACCUAUACUUCGACAUUAUAAUUUAGCCCAUUCAUUUUCCUCUUGAGGAUAAAUGUUAAAAGUCCAAUUUAUGGGAGGCCAAGGCGAGCGGUUCAUGAGAUCCAGAGAUCGAGACCAUCCUGGCUAACACAGUGAAACCCAGUCUCUACUAAAAAUAUAAAAAAUUAGCCGGGCGUGGUGGUGGGCGCCUGUAGUUCCAGCUACUUGGGAGGCUGAGGCAGGAGAAUGGCAUGAACCAGGGAGGCAGAGCUUGCAGUGAGCCAAGAUCUUGUCACGGCACUCCAGCCUGGGCUGCAGAGCGAGACUCUGUCUCAAACAAACAAACAAACAAAAAGUCCAAUUUGUUGGAGAAUUUUUUAGGAGGGAUGAAGGGAAUGGGGGAUUGGAAGAUAGGAAGUCAAAUGCGCUCUAAUCUUUUCUUGCUUUUUUCUAUGCUUUUUCUAUGUGGGACUUGUUGAAUGUUUAUUGCAAGCUCUUUA